This 932-nucleotide ribosomal RNA is filed under the name uncultured ciliate. Its description in RNAcentral is "bacterial SSU rRNA". It matches the Rfam family "Eukaryotic small subunit ribosomal RNA", at positions 577 to 1549 of the family's 1831-position model. Lineage: Eukaryota; Ciliophora. The record is from RNAcentral.
CGGUAAUUCCAGCUCCAAUAGCGUAUAUUAAAGUUGUUGCAGUUAAAAAGCUCGUAGUUGAAUUUCUGGCCCACUGGCAGCUCUUUCAGGGCUCGCACAGUGAGGUCAUCCCCUUCGAAAUAAAGAUACGCACUUAGGUGGGCGGUCUGGUUUUCAAGGAUUUUACUUUGAAAAAAUUAGAGUGUUUCAAGCAGGCGUUUGCUGGAAUACAUUAGCAUGGAAUAAUAGAAGAUGACCUUGUAAUCAUUUUAUUGGUAACAUUGGUACGAGGUAAUGAUUAACAGGGACAGUUGGGGGCAUUAGUAUUUAAUUGUCAGAGGUGAAAUUCAUUGAUUAAUUAAAGACUAACUUAUGCGAAAGCAUUUGCCAAGGAUGUUUUCAUUAAUCAAGAACGAAAGUUAGGGGAUCAAAGACGAUCAGAUACCGUCAUAGUCUUAACCAUAAACUAUACCGACUAGGGAUUGGUGAGGAUUUACGCCUCAUCAACACCUUAUGAGAAAUCAAAGUCUUUGGGUUCUGGGGGGAGUAUGGACGCAAGGCUGAUACUUAAAGGAAUUGACGGAAGGGCACCACCAGGAGUGAAGCCUGCGGCUUAAUUUGACUCAACACGGGAAACUUACCAGGUCCAGACAUAGUAAGGAUUGACAGAUUGAUAGCUCUUUCAUGAUUCUAUGGGAGGUGGUGCAUGACCGUUUGUAGGGGGUGGAGUGAUUGGUCUGGUUAAUUGCGUUAACGAGCGAGGCCUUAUCCUGCUAAAUAGUUACGCAUAACUUCGGUUUCGCGGGCAUCUUCUUAGAGGGACUUGGUGUUUCUAUCGCAAGGAAGUUUGAGUCAAUAACAAGUGUGUGAUGACGUUAGAUGUUGUGGGUUGCACGCUCGGUUCAUUGAUGCACUCAGCGAGUUUAUGAUCUUCGCCUGGAAGGGUUGGGUAA